AGAUGCGAUCAUACCAGCACUAAAGCACCGGAUCCCAUCAAAACUCCGAAGUUAAGCGUGCUUGGGCGAGAGUAGUACUAGGGUGGGUGACCUCCUGGGAAGUCCUCGUGUUGCAUUCC
RNAcentral lists this ribosomal RNA (119 nucleotides) under Triticum dicoccoides. The record is from RNAcentral. Lineage: Eukaryota; Viridiplantae; Streptophyta; Magnoliopsida; Poales; Poaceae.